AAAAAGUUGUCAAAAGAAAGGGGGAGAUCUUGCUGUUCCAAAAAAUAAAGCUGAAAAUGACGCUAUUUUUCAUGAAGUCCGGCAAAAACAAAUCAAAACCCCUUUUAUUGGUUUGUUGCGCAAUAAAAACGACAAUAAAUUUUAUACAGUCCAUAAUUUCAAACCUACUUUCACAAAUUGGGGUCCUAAAGAACCAAAUAACCGUCGUGGUAACGAGGAUUGUGUUCGAUUUUAUCCUAUUCAACCCAAGUGGAAUGACAUUUCAUGCACAAGCCGUAACAAUUAUAUUUGUCAAAAAUUCAGAGGAUGCCCACGUGGCUGGAUGGAUAUAUGGUCAUCUUGCUAUUUCUUCAGUAGAAC
Long non-coding RNA from Xenia sp. Carnegie-2017, 360 nucleotides. RefSeq lists it as uncharacterized. The transcript has 2 exons. Lineage: Eukaryota; Metazoa; Cnidaria; Anthozoa; Malacalcyonacea; Xeniidae. The record is from RefSeq and is a predicted model, not a curated record.